This is a non-coding RNA of Homo sapiens (human), 147 nucleotides long. It matches the Rfam family "Metazoan signal recognition particle RNA". From Rfam's summary of the family: The signal recognition particle (SRP) is a universally conserved ribonucleoprotein. It is involved in the co-translational targeting of proteins to membranes. The eukaryotic SRP consists of a 300-nucleotide 7S RNA and six proteins: SRPs 72, 68, 54, 19, 14, and 9. NCBI's taxonomy places the organism in Eukaryota, Metazoa, Chordata, Mammalia, Primates, Hominidae. The record is from Rfam.
GCCAGGCGUGGUGGCGCGUGCCUGUAAUCCCAGCUACUCAGGAGGCUGAGGCAGGAGAAUCACUUGAACCCGGGAGGUGGAGCUGCAGUGAGCCGAGAUCGCGCCACUGCACUCCAGCCUGGGCAACAAAGUGAGAUUCUGUCUCAA